This 301-nucleotide ribosomal RNA is filed under the name uncultured bacterium. RNAcentral's name for it is "partial 16S ribosomal RNA". It matches the Rfam family "Bacterial small subunit ribosomal RNA", at positions 509 to 808 of the family's 1533-position model. The record is from RNAcentral.
CAGCCGCCGCGGGAAUACGAAGGGGGCUAGCGUUGCUCGGAAUUACUGGGCGUAAAGGGAGCGUAGGCGGAUCGUUAAGUUGGGGGUGAAAGCCCGGGGCUCAACCUCGGAAUUGCCUUCAAUACUGGCGAUCUUGAGUAUGGAAGAGGUAUGUGGAACUCCGAGUGUAGAGGUGAAAUUCGUAGAUAUUCGGAAGAACACCAGUGGCGAAGGCGACAUACUGGUCCAUUACUGACGCUGAGGCUCGAAAGCGUGGGGAGCAAACAGGAUUAGAUACCCCAGUAGUCCCUGUCUCUUAACA